AGUGAACGCUGGCGGCGUGCCUCAUACAUGCAAGUCGAACGCAGUGGCGCACGGGUGAGUAAUAUAUAGUUAAUCUGCCCUACACCGAGGAACACCAGUUGGAAACGACUGCUCAUACCCCCUAGUGUAGGAUGCGACUAUAUCGUUGCAGCUAGUUGGUCAGGUAAUGGCUUACCAAGGCUAUGACGCGUAACUGGUCUGAGAGGAUGAGCAGUCACAUUGGAACGGAGACACGGUCCAAACUCCGACGGGAGGCAGCAGUAAGGAAUAUGGCGCAAUGGGGGAAACCCUGACGCAGCAACGCCGCGUGGAGGAUGACACUUUUCGGAGCGUAAACUCCUUUUAUCAGGAAAGCGGUACCUGAUGAAUAAGCACCGGCUAACUCCGUGCCAGCAGCCGCGGUAAUUC
Molecule: ribosomal RNA, 408 nt
Filed under: uncultured bacterium
Lineage: Bacteria
Description: partial 16S ribosomal RNA
Rfam family: Bacterial small subunit ribosomal RNA
Source: RNAcentral